UACGUAGGGUGCAAGCGUUAAUCGGAAUUACUGGGCGUAAAGCGUGCGCAGGCGGUUUUGUAAGUCUGAUGUGAAAUCCCCGGGCUCAACCUGGGAAUUGCAUUGGAGACUGUAAGGCUAGAAUCUGGCAGAGGGGGGUAGAAUUCCACGUGUAGCAGUGAAAUGCGUAGAGAUGUGGAGGAACACCGAUGGCGAAGGCAGCCCCCUGGGUCAAGAUUGACGCUCAUGCACGAAAGCGUGGGGAGCAAACAGG
RNAcentral lists this ribosomal RNA (253 nucleotides) under uncultured bacterium. Its description in RNAcentral is "partial 16S ribosomal RNA". It matches the Rfam family "Bacterial small subunit ribosomal RNA", at positions 524 to 776 of the family's 1533-position model. The record is from RNAcentral.